GCGCACCAGGCGAGAAUCCUUUACAAUGCCUGAAAGGGUGAUAAGGGCAUCCUGAGUGCUCCAGCAUUGCUGGGGCUUUUCCGGAGUGUAAAAAGCUCCGGGAAUAAGUGGUGGGUAAGACGGGUGCCAGCCAUUUACAUGUCUUACAAUUAAAACUCUAAGUUUCAAAGGCAUGUAAACUGGAAGCCGCGGUAAUACCCGCGCCACAAGUGGUGAUCACGGUUAUUGGGGUCUAGAGCGUUCGUAGCCGGCCUAAUAAAUUCUUGGUGAAAUCCCGUGUAAAACAUGGGAAGAGCUAAGAACACUAUUAGGCUAGGGACCAGGAGAGGCUGAGGGUACUCCAAGGGUAGGGGUUAAAUACUGAAAGAGGUUACUUUCGUACUUUAAAACUUCUCGGUUUUAACAAUCCUGUAAUCCUUGGAGGACCACCUGUGGUGAA
Molecule: ribosomal RNA, 439 nt
Filed under: uncultured microorganism
Description: bacterial SSU rRNA
Rfam family: Archaeal small subunit ribosomal RNA
Source: RNAcentral